RNAcentral lists this long non-coding RNA (387 nucleotides) under Fukomys damarensis (Damara mole-rat). RNAcentral's name for it is "lncRNA (ENSFDAG00000026859.1)". Lineage: Eukaryota; Metazoa; Chordata; Mammalia; Rodentia; Bathyergidae. The record is from RNAcentral.
CUUUACUGAGAUCUUCUUGGUCAUUAUUCUCUGAUAUAAUGAGAAUGUCAGAUAUAGAACCAUCCAUCCUCAUCAGGAAGCCAUGGCAAACUCGGGAAAAGGAUUACUGCAGAGAAGUAUCCAUGUAAGGAGGGGUAGAUUUUCCUUGGAAUGGCCAAGAUUCCAUCUUAAGGACUUGAGCUGACAUCCACAAUGAGAGAUCAGAAAAGGAAUACACCAUCGAUAAUGCACAUCCACUGGGACACACUAUGGGGAGAACAGAGGAACAAGACCCUGGAAGAACUAAUGAGCAAUUCCUACCUUGAAGGCCUCUGCAUUGUGAUCUUUGCCAAAAACUUCUACUGGAACUUUAAUACGUUGAGAACUUUUGGUUGGAUCGGUAUUUAA